GACGAACGCUGGCGGCGCGCUUAACACAUGCAAGUCGAACGGAAAGGCCUGCUUUCCCUUGUGGAUUGCGGGUACUCGAGUGGCGAACGGGUGAGUAACACGUGAGUGAUCUGCCCCCAACUUGGGUAUAAGCCUGGGAAACUGGGUCUAAUUCCCGAUAGGACUGCAGGGUGGUGCCUGUGGUGGAAAACGAUUUUCUAGUGGUUGGGGAUGAGCUCGCGGCCUAUCAGCUUGUUGGUGGGGUAAUGGCCUACCAAGGCGGCGACGGGUAGCCGGCCUGGGAGGGUGGACGGCCACAUUGGGACUGAGAUACGGCCCAGACUCCUACGGGAGGCAGCAGUGGGGAAUAUUGCACAAUGGGCGGAAGCCUGAUGCAGCGACGCCGCGUGGGGGAUGACGGCCUUCGGGUUGUAAACUUCUUUCGACCGCGAGGAAGCCACCUGGUUGGAAGGGUGGUGACGGUAGUGGUAGAAGAAGCACCGGCUAACUACGUG
Molecule: ribosomal RNA, 494 nt
Filed under: uncultured bacterium
Lineage: Bacteria
Description: partial 16S ribosomal RNA
Rfam family: Bacterial small subunit ribosomal RNA
Source: RNAcentral